GUUAGAGUGGCAGAGCCCGGUAAUUGCAAAAGGCCUAAGCCCUUUAUACAGAGGUUCAAGUCCUCUCCCUAACU
RNAcentral lists this transfer RNA (74 nucleotides) under Uraspis helvola (whitemouth jack). Its description in RNAcentral is "tRNA-Leu". It matches the Rfam family "tRNA". From Rfam's summary of the family: Transfer RNA (tRNA) molecules are approximately 80 nucleotides in length. Their secondary structure includes four short double-helical elements and three loops (D, anti-codon, and T loops). Further hydrogen bonds mediate the characteristic L-shaped molecular structure. tRNAs have two regions of fundamental functional importance: the anti-codon, which is responsible for specific mRNA codon recognition, and the 3' end, to which the tRNAs corresponding amino acid is attached (by aminoacyl-tRNA synthetases). tRNAs cope with the degeneracy of the genetic code in two manners: having more than one tRNA (with a specific anti-codon) for a particular amino acid; and 'wobble' base-pairing, i.e. permitting non-standard base-pairing at the 3rd anti-codon position. Lineage: Eukaryota; Metazoa; Chordata; Actinopteri; Carangiformes; Carangidae. The record is from RNAcentral. RNAcentral also lists the same sequence under 2 other names.